GAAAGCUCCGGCGGAUAGAGAUGGGCAGCGCAAGAUUAGCUAGUUGGUGAGGUAACGGCUCACCAAGGCGAUGAUCUUUAGGGGCCUGAGAGGGUGAUCCCCCCACACUGGUACUGAGACACGGACCAGACUCCUACGGGAGGCAGCAGUGAGGAAUAUUGGUCAAUGGGUGCAAGCCUGAACCAGCCAUCCCCGCGUGAAGGACGACUGCCCUAUGGGUUGUAAACUUCUUCUGUAUAGGGAUAAACCUACCCUCGUGAGGGUAGCUGAAGGUACUAUACGAAUAAGCACCGGCUAACUCCGUG
This 305-nucleotide ribosomal RNA is filed under the name uncultured bacterium. Its description in RNAcentral is "bacterial SSU rRNA". It matches the Rfam family "Bacterial small subunit ribosomal RNA", at positions 202 to 507 of the family's 1533-position model. The record is from RNAcentral.